Molecule: long non-coding RNA, 648 nt
Organism: Alligator mississippiensis (American alligator)
Lineage: Eukaryota; Metazoa; Chordata; Crocodylia; Alligatoridae
Exons: 4
Source: RefSeq, a predicted model, not a curated record
AAUAUUCCCUAACAUUUUGGACUUGCUUAGAUUAUUGUGGCACAGAUGGAGAGGGACUCUCAAACUGAGCAUUAGAGUUUCACAAGUUGAGCUGAAAAGAGUACACACAGUCCAGUGAUCCCACAACUCUUCUCUUCACCACCUUGAAGAAGGACACAGAUUUUUGGAAAAGUAUCAGAUCAGCACUGAAGAGAUAAAUACCCAAAGGUGAUGCCAUAACUCUGAAAUGUCCCGUGCACAAAGCACAUUCUCUGCUGAGGCCAUACCAACUGGGAUUCCUGAUGAGAGAGGAAAUCUGAUCUCUAUCAUAGCACAGGUCAAUCUGCUUAAUGGGGAAGGAAAUCUCCUUCAUCUAAAGGCAGAAGGGACAACAGGACAUACUGUUCCCUGCUAUAACUCCACUGAAAUCAGUAGAAUUCUACUAGGGAGGAAUUGGUGUUGUGAGAUCUUUUUUGUGUUUUAUACCUUGUCAUAGCUUUGUAACAAAGAGUAACGUGAGUUUUGGAAAAGCAAAGUAUUGACAAGGAAUUCAUGAAUACCUGUCUCUACUCAAAGCUGCAAAAGCUAUUGCAUCAUCUUAAAGAAAUAUUAUUCUCUCCACAUUAUUGUGCACUUGCAUGUUUUCAGAACUAUAAAUAAACUACUUUG